AGGGAGAUGUGUACACGAGUAGAUUAAGACGACCACUGUCUUAAAGCCUUUUUACUCAUCCACCGUCUAUUGCUCUCGUUGCUCUCUGUUCACCAGGAAACUUUCUCGGUUUACGGGGGUCAAUGGUUCACCGUGGUUCUCACUACCCAUACAAACACAUUUUCGAGAUAGUUUUUUGAUUACAAAAAGUGAAUACCCUUAAAUGUUAAAAAUCAACUCUAAUAAAAUUCUAACGAUUCAAUUAACACUAUACAUUCCAGCAAUAAUACCUUGAUAAAAUUGAUUUUGACUGGUUUGGUAAUCAAUAUCCAAUGUCCCCAACAGCCGGCCCAAAAUUUCCACAUAAAUUUCCAUUUAAUUAAUUUCGAAUCAAUCGAUCGAUCUUAAAACGACCCAAAAUUGGUCUCCAACAGGCCACUCAAGAUCUCCGCACAAAUUUACUAAUCCUCGCCGAGAGAUUAGUAAUAAGCGAGGAUCCUCGAGCCGACACAGUUAAUUGGUACAAUUAUAUCAAUUCCGGCGUACAUCCUGCGAUUAGCAACGAUAAGAUGACCACGUAGAGACGUGAACGCGUGGGAGGGAGUGUUGAGAGCCGCUGAUCGCACGUUCCGCGAUGUUUGAACUUUGACACGUGACAAUUAAAUCAUCUGUCAGUUCCUAUUCAGUCGUUGACUCGUCUCGUUGAGGCGCCACGGCGACCAAUUGAGCGUGGGCCGUGACACAAACGCCGUCUUUUCGAUGGUGGGCGAAGAAAGGGUCAAGCCCCGGUGUCGCGCAAUCAACGGGGAACUGCAAGAAUCCAGCAGCGUUUCCACCAUAGUUGACGAAGAACGCGUAUAUACCUCGGGAAGAGUUUUAAUUGGAACCGGCUACUUGGCCAGUUUUUGGCUAAAGUUUUAAUGAAACCACUCGGAGAUACUUGAAGCAGGUUGUAACGAAAGAGGGUCUUUUUUGGAGCUUUUUAAAAGGAUCGAGGACCUUUCAGAGAGUUUUAAUUUUGGAGAGGAUUGGCGAAGGGUGGAUGAUUCGAAGGGUUGUUUCAUGGUUUUAUUUUGUGGGUAUCGCACGUUACCGUGCAGAAAAUUAAUUUAGAUACCCAUAACAAAGUUCGUUAAAAAUAAAAAUACUACUUAAUACACCUAACAAUUUAAUUUAAUAAUAGGUACCGCUAAGGAAACCCGAUAAUUAAUUUUCAUGACCUUCUUGAAACUUCCUCCGAAUAAAUACGAAGACACGUGCACAGGAAAAUUAAGUCUCCCGUUGAUGGUAUCAGUUUUCUUCAAUGCCUUUUUACCCCCCAUAUUGCAUGGAAAACCUGCGAAGUUAUAAGAUCUCGAAACACUUAGAUCCGCUGUAUGCACACCUAGCCUUAAUCUGAUGAAAUUAAUAAUUCAUCGCUAUCACCUCUUUCUGCGUGCAAGCAUAAUCUAAAUCUACUAAUUCCUGCGUGUUUGAAGAUUAUUAUCUGGAGAAAACUUAUGGCUCAAUUAAAAUUAAGCUUGCGUGCGAAUGAAAGGAUUUUAGGAGGAUAUUUAAAAUAAAGAGAUACUCGAUGAAAUUUGUGAUUGAAAAUCGACGAGCUGUAAAGAAAAAAUAACGACGAGCCUUCAUUGUUCGCCCAUUUCGAUUUGCGGUUUCGCGACAUUUGUUCCAUUAAAGUGUAGAGGCUCCCAGGAGUAAUACGCGCCAAGGGCUGGAGAGGGACACGUCCCUUAAAAAAGUCAAUCUUACAGACUGGGGAGAGCCAUUGUUGGUCGUAACUAACUUUGCUCGGAAAAAUGACUCAUCUUUUCUAGUGGAUGAUAAGAGCGAAAUGGAACAAUGGAAGAAGAUUAAUCUGGAUUGGUGGAUAAAAACAUUAUGAUCGAGGUAGGAUACGAUCGAGAAAAUAAUUUUAGGUAAAUUUUUGAUAAAUUGGAAAAUUGAAUUUUGUCAUUCCAGUAACGCGUGUUUCAAACGCCAUAAAUACAUCAGCAUUAUAAUCAAUCAAACUGGUCGGACAAAAGGAAGGAGACAAUGUGAUACAUGGUAAAAAUGAGGAGGGAAAGAUUAAAAAGAAAUUAGUAUGAAAAGUUUAGGAGGUUGGCGAUUCGACGACAGAGCCGUCUCUCAACUGAAAUUUAUCGCGAGCAACGGCAUUGUUGAAUUGAUAGGCAGAAGCCCAGAGGCUGCCAGACGAAUGCUCUCGACUUGAAAAAUGGCUUCGCCUCGGUGUCUCAACGUUUGUUCCAUUAAAAGCACGACGAACGCUCGCGGGUGCAGUGGAGCAUCCGUGGAAGAAAAAGGAAGCCUUAAAGAGGCAACCUCGAUAAAUCUCCACGAGGGGUUCUCCGUUCUCGACGUUCGAGACGACGCGACGCGUCGCGACGCGAGAAAAAUGCAUUGUAGGAAAAAAAGUCUGAGAUCGAACGGUCGUGGAUUGCUUUUGUCCUACCGUGAACAAACUCUGUGUUUUUCUUUCACUCUGACUAUCCGGAAAAUUCAUUUCUUUCUCUCGUUCGUUAACUUUCAAAUAAUCCAAAAAAUUUCCAAAUUUAUAAUCUUCGAAUUUUCAAAUUUCCAUGCCCAAAGGCUUGAAAUUUCUGAGGUUCAAAGCUUAAAUGCACCGGUGCGUCGCCGACUCUCCGGCCCUAAUUCCGACACUGACAAAUUGCAUCCGUCUUCUAGGAAAUAAAUAUAGGUUGGCUUGGUUUAAUCGAUACGUAUAUAAAAGCGGGAGUUCCACCCUUUAGUUUCAAGUAGUCAAUCGAGAAGCAGAGGCUACUAAUGGUUACCAAAUGAACUGCUCGAAAAGCUCUCCUAGCUCGUUGUACGCUUCUUCUGGAAGCACUUCUAUCGACGACAGAUGUUCAGUAGCUCGAACGUGGCUGCAAGCAACUCUUCAAGUCAGCUGGCGAUCCGUUUCAACGGCGAACAUUUAUUUUCGAACGUGUUCAAGCGAGAGGAAAAUUAAAUGGAAGCCUCUCAACAGCUCGAGUUUUCAGAAAUUUCAGAUUUUCAGGUCCGACGUGUAAUAAUAACGAGUGUAUUCCCAUCUUAAAAUAGUAUUUAAGAAAAUAUUUACUUUGGGCUAGAUCAAUUUGAAAAACUCGGAUAUAUAAAUCUAAGAUCGUUCAACUUCGUUUAAACAGCAUAAUAGUUUUUCCAAACAUAAAACACUCCUAUCUUUCCGAUUAAAUUCAGUUAAACGAGGAAAGAUCCUCGAGGAUAGAUUAGGUGAAAUAAGAAAAAUCGAGAUCACGAUGGUGAUGCAGGUUGAACGAACGAGGGAAUUACGGAGCAUAGAUAAAAGACGCUGUUUUCAGGAUGCUCGAAAGACACGUCUCGUUGAACUCACGAAUUUCCACGGGGCCUCGAACACGUGCGUACGUUAGAGGCCAAGUUUGCUUAUGUACCCGCACGAUUAAGUCUCCGUUGGCCGUCACUUCCGGUGCUAGUACCUUAGAACGUGCACGUGCUCCACUCUAGGGUGUUCACGCACCUUGCUUCCUCGAGCUCCAAAUGCAUGUAUCUCGACCUACCAUCCCAUCGAGUUUCCCUCAUGGAAAUCGCAUAAUUUCCUCGCGUGCGGUAUUUAUUUAACAGUUUCUUCCAUUUCCAUAAUACGAUGGUUGGUCUCGUAAUAAUAUCACAUUUGCAACUUAAUUAUUACAGACGGUACGGGGGUCUUUAUUUCUUUUUAAAUUAAACUCCAAGUGAAAUCGUAACUUUCAUGAAAUUUCAUUCGACGCAAAGCGAAUUCUUAUAAAAGUCAACCAGAGUCAAUUACAGCAGUUUAAUUAUCUUUUCACGGUUCGACUGACCGAUCGAUAUGAUUUCAGGGUAAAGGUGAGAGGUGAACGAUCGCAGCGUGGACGCAGAAUCUCACGAAUGGAACAUCUCGACAAAAGGGAGCCGGAAAAGUUUACACGAUCUUCGGGAGAUAGUGGAAGACAAAAGGACGUCCAUUUACCAAACAGCUGAGUCAAGAUAAAGAAGGAUUAACCUGGAAAGGAGGAGUAAAUCUACCCUGGUCUUUGAUUAUCUAGGAGAGUGCUAAGAUUCUUCAGUGUCUCGACUUUUCAUGGACACCUAGAAAAAUACGAAGGUUCCAAAGGCCAUUUAAAUGUCCAACACGAAGUCUACGCAACACUUUUCUAUGUAUCUUCGAGGAACAGCUGAGCGUCGACCUGUUUCCGACUUUAAAUCACCGAACAGGUGGAGGUGCUCUUCCUCGUAGUCAGAGAAUGUCAGCUGCCUCCUGGGGUCUCUCGCCGCGUACAAGCCAGACGCCAUUGUUCGAUCAACAAUACUGAACCGAACCGCUCACAACAUAUAUCCCAUUCAUUUCAUCCACCCACUUUAUGCUACCCCCGUGCCCACCCCCGACGGAUAAAGGGGGAAACAAGGGGUCAACGAGGAUGAAGAAAACGUCAUGUCCGUUCGUUCUGCGGAAGAAGCCGUCACCCUCUUCGGUAGACUCGAAAGGUACCUGAAACCUUGCGGUGCAUUGCACUGGCUUCUUCAACAACUGAAAACGUGUCUGGUGUCCUUUGGCUUUGUUCGAAAGAAGGAGCCGAAAUCUGUGCACCACGUGCCUCGAAGAUCCUCCGGUCAAUGAAGCGGAAAAACCGAGAUCAGGAUCCUGACAUUUUUCAGAAUGUCCCAUCAGAAUGACCAAUCCUUGAAGUCCAUCAGUUGCUUUCCGAUGGGAAAACCAACGAUUGCUGUUAGACCAUAAAAUUAACGGAUCGUUAAGAUCGAUUGUCCGGAUGUUUACGACUUCAGGAACAAACGGUGAGCCAUUGGAACCCCAUGGACGACAAUGGACACUGGUCACUCGGCAACGAACGAUCCUAUUGUCUUCCGACCGGCGGCACAAAGAAGAUGGUUCAAGUAUCCAGGCGAAUUGGCUGAUAAAUUAGGUUAAUCGAGAAUCGUGUUUUUUUUUUCCCUCCCUAAAAUGAUUUUUAUCGGUCGGACAAUACGCGGUCACGCAACAUGGCCCCGUUAAUAAAGUGGAAAGAAGCAACUCUGUUCACGAGCAGCUUGGCACGUGCCAAACAGUGUCAGCUGGUAAUGAUCGGCGAACGGUACCCAUACGAUGCCCGACAGCUUUUUAUCUCGUAACAAUAUCUCCUGGUAUUUCGAAAACGUUCGUACCGGCUACCAGAGGUGAAAGGGAUUCCGUGUAUAUCGAGGUAAACCGAGAGGGAAAAGUGGAAGGGAAGAAGAAAAUUGUAAACGUAAAAUAAUUUAGAAAAUAAGUUUUUUAUUAAGUUCAAACUUGAUACAUUGUACAUUGUACAUUUAAUAAAAUUGUUUCAAUCAUUCGCUAUAUUUUUCAAUUAAAAAUUUCUUUAAUUACACUAUUGUCCAAAUCUUCUCUCCAUUCCCCGAAUGAU
Molecule: non-coding RNA, 5384 nt
Organism: Osmia lignaria (orchard mason bee)
Lineage: Eukaryota; Metazoa; Arthropoda; Insecta; Hymenoptera; Megachilidae
Source: RefSeq, a predicted model, not a curated record